Molecule: long non-coding RNA, 10017 nt
Filed under: Ananas comosus (pineapple)
Lineage: Eukaryota; Viridiplantae; Streptophyta; Magnoliopsida; Poales; Bromeliaceae
Description: long non-coding RNA (ACOM_LNC030616)
Source: RNAcentral
GGAAUGGGAUAUACAUCACAUAUCCUGGAUCAAGUAAAGACUUUGGGUUUCCAUCAAGCCACUGCUACAUCUAUUUCAUUAGGAAUUGAUGAUCUUUUAACAAUACCUUCUAAGGGAUGGUUAGUCCAAGACGCUGAACAACAAAGUUUUAUUUUGGAGAAACACCAUCAUUAUGGGAAUGUACACGCGGUAGAAAAAUUACGUCAAUCUAUUGAGAUAUGGUAUGCUACAAGUGAAUAUUUGAGACAAGAAAUGAAUCCUAAUUUUCGGAUGACUGAUCCCUCUAAUCCAGUCUAUCUAAUGUCUUUUUCAGGAGCAAGGGGAAAUGCAUCUCAGAUACACCAAUUAGUAGGUAUGAGAGGAUUAAUGUCAGAUCCCCAAGGACAAAUGAUUGAUUUACCCAUUCAAAGCAAUUUACGCGAGGGACUUUCUUUGACAGAAUAUAUAAUUUCCUGCUACGGAGCCCGCAAAGGAGUUGUAGAUACUGCUGUACGAACAUCAGAUGCUGGAUAUCUUACACGUAGACUUGUUGAAGUAGUUCAACACAUUAUUGUACGUAGAAGAGAUUGUGGUACUAUCCGAGGUAUUUCCGUGAGUCCUCAAAAUGGGAUGACGGAAAAGAUUUUUGUCCAAACACUAAUUGGUCGUGUAUUAGCAGACGAUAUAUAUAUCGGUCUACGAUGCAUUGCCACUCGAAAUCAAGAUAUUGGGAUUGGACUUGUCAAUCGAUUCAUAACCUUUCGAGCACAACCAAUAUAUAUUCGAACCCCCUUUACUUGCAGGAGUACAUCUUGGAUCUGUCAAUUAUGUUAUGGUCGGAGUCCCACUCAUGGCGAUCUGGUCGAAUUGGGAGAAGCCGUAGGUAUUAUUGCGGGUCAAUCAAUUGGGGAACCGGGGACUCAACUAACAUUAAGAACUUUUCAUACCGGCGGAGUAUUCACAGGCGGUACUGCAGAACAUGUACGAGCUCCUUCUAAUGGAAAAAUAAAAUUCAAUGAGGAUUUGGUUCAUCCCACACGUACCCGUCAUGGGCAUCCCGCUUUUCUAUGUUCUAUAGACUUGUAUGUAACUAUUGAGAGUCGGGAUAUUAUACAUAAUGUGACUAUUCCGCCAAAAAGUUUGAUUUUAGUUCAAAAUGAUCAAUAUGUAGAAUCAGAACAAGUGAUUGCUGAGAUUCGUGCUGGAACGUCUACUUUUCAUUUUAAAGAGAGGGUACGAAAACAUAUUUAUUCUGAAUCAGAGGGAGAAAUGCACUGGAGUACCGAUGUCUACCAUGCACCUGAAUAUACAUAUGGUAAUGUUCAUCUAUUACCAAAAACAAGUCAUUUAUGGAUAUUAGCAGGAGGUCCGUGCAGAUCCAGUAUAGUGUCUUUUUCGCUCCACAAGGAUCAAGAUCAAAUGAAUGUUUAUUCUCUUUCUGUUGAAGGAAGAUAUAUCUCUAACCCCUCAAUGACUAAUGAUCAAGUAAGACAUAAAUUGUUGGAUACUUCUGGUAAAAAAGAUAGGAAAAUUCUUGACUAUUCAAGACUUGAUCGAAUCAUAUCCAAUGGUCAUUGGAAUUUCAUAUAUCCUUCUAUUCUCCAAGAGAAUCCUGAUUUCUUGGCGAAAAAGCGAAGAAAUAGAUUCAUCAUCCCAUUACAAUAUGAUCAAGAACGAGAGAAAGAACUAAUACCCUGUUUUGGUAUUUCGAUUGAAAUACCCAUAAAUGGUAUUUUACGUAGAAAUAGUAUUCUUGCUUAUUUUGAUGAUCCACGAUACAGAAGAAGCAGUUCCGGAAUUACUAAAUAUGGGACCAUAGAGGUGGAUUCAAUCAUAAAAAAAGAAGAUUUGAUUGAGUAUCGAGGAGCAAAAGAAUUUAGUCCGAAAUACCAAACGGAAGUAGAUCAGUUUUUUUUCAUUCUCGAAGAAGUGCAUAUCUUACCGGGAUCCUCAUUAAUAAUGGUCCGGAACAAUAGUAUCAUUGGAGUAGAUACACGACUCGCUUUAAAUAUAAAUACAAGAAGCCGAGUACGCGGAUUAGUCCGAGUGGAGAGAAAAAAAAAAUAUAUUGAACUUAAAAUCUUUUCUGGAGAUAUUCAUUUUCCUGGAGAGACAGAUAAGAUAUCCAGGCACAGCGGCAUUUUUAUACCACCAGAAACGGAAAAAAAAAAUUCUAAAGAAUCAAAAAAAUGGAAAAAUUGGAUCUAUGUUCAACGGAUCACACCUACCAAGAAAAAGUAUUUUGUUUCGGUUCGACCCGUAGUCACAUAUGAAAUAUCCGAUGGGAUAAAUUUAGCAACACUUUUCCCUCGGGAUAUCUUGCAGGAAAAGGAUAAUGUCCAACUUAGAGUUGUCAAUUAUAUCCUUUAUGGAAAUGGCAAGUCAAUUCGAGGAAUUUAUCACACAAGUAUUCAAUUAGUUCGGACUUGCUUAGUAUUGAAUUGGGACCAAGAACAAAAUGGUUUUAUAGAAGAGGUUCAUGCUUCCUUUGUUGAGGUAAGGGCAAAUGAUCUAAUUCGCGAUUUCAUAAGAAUUGAGUUAGUCAAGUCCACUAUUUCGUAUACCGGAAAAAGGUAUGAUAGGGCAAGUUCCGGAUUGAUUCCCGAUAAUGGAUUAGAUCGCACCAAUAUCAAUCCCUUUUAUUCCAAGGCGAAGAUUCAAUCACUUAGCCAACAUCAAGGAACUAUUGGUACGUUGUUGAAUCGAAAUAAGGAAUGCCAAUCUUUGAUAAUUUUGUCAUCAUCCAAUUGUUCUCGAAUUGGUCCAUUCAAUAGUUCGAAAUAUAACAAUUUGACAAAAGAAUCGGAUCCCCUAAUUCCAAUUAGGGAUUCUUUAGGUCUCUUAGGCGCUAUUGUACCUAAAAUAGCGAAUUUUUAUUCAUCUUACCAUUUAAUAACUCAUAAUCAGAUCGUGUUAAAGAAAUAUUUGCUACUUGACAAUUUGAAACAGAUUUUCCAAGUACUUCAAGUACUUAAAUACUGUUUAAUAGAUGAAAAUAGGAGGAUUUAUAAUCCCGAUCCAUGCAGUAACAUCAUUUUGAACCCAUUCCAUUUGAAUUGGUGCUUUUUCCAUCAUGAUUAUUGUGAAGAGACAUCGACCAAAAUUAGCCUUGGACAAUUUAUUUGUGAAAAUGUAUGUCUAUUUAAAUACGAACCACACGUAAAAAAAUCUGGUCAAAUUUUAAUUGUUAAUGUCGACUCUUUAGUUAUAAGAUCAGCUAAGCCUUAUUUGGCUACUCCUGGAGCAACUGUUCAUGGUCAUUAUGGGAAAAUCCUUUACGAAGGAGAUACAUUAGUUACAUUUAUAUAUGAAAAAUCGAGAUCUGGUGACAUAACGCAAGGUCUUCCAAAAGUAGAACAAAUCUUAGAAGUGCGUUCGAUUGAUUCACUAUCGAUGAACCUCGAAAGGAGAGUUGAAGGUUGGAACGAACGCAUACCAAGAAUUCUUGGGAUCCCCUGGGGGUUUUUGAUUGGAGCUGAGCUAACCAUAGCCCAAAGUUGUAUCUCUUUGGUUAAUAAGAUCCAAAAGGUUUAUCGAUCCCAGGGGGUACAGAUCCAUAAUAGACAUAUAGAGAUUAUUGUACGUCAAGUAACAUCAAAAGUGUUGGUUUCAGAAGAUGGAAUGUCUAAUGUUUUUUCGCCUGGAGAAUUAAUCGGAUUGUUGCGAGCGGAACGAGCAGGGCGUGCUUUGGACGAAUCGAUCUGUUAUCGGGCAAUCUUAUUGGGAAUAACAAGAGCGUCUCUGAAUACUCAAAGUUUCAUAUCCGAAGCAAGUUUUCAAGAAACCGCUCGAGUUUUAGCAAAAGCUGCUCUACGAGGUCGUAUUGAUUGGUUGAAAGGCCUGAAAGAGAACGUUGUUCUGGGGGGGAUUAUACCUGUUGGUACCGGAUUCCAAAAAUUUGUGCACCGUUCAAGGCAAGACAAAAACAUUUAUUUGGAAAUCAAAAGAAAAAAUCUAUUCGAGUUGGAAAUGAGAGAUAUUUUGUUACACCAUAGAGAAUUAUUUUGUUCUUGCGCGACAAACAAUUUCCAUGAGACAAAUUUACAUGAGACAUCAGAACAAUCAUUUAUGCGAUUUAAUGAUUCCUAAGAGCGGAUUCAUUUUAACUUUAACUAUCUUUUAACUAUACUGGUCUGAUUAUUGAUUUAGUAAUAAAUAAAAUAAGUAAUUAAAAAAAUUUAUGUGCCGUGUAUCGAUGGUCAAUCCCCGGUAGAAGGUUCCAUCGGAACAAUUAUUUAUUUCAAGGUACCUCGUCUCUUUGUUAAUAAUAAGAAAAAGAAAAAACAAAAAGGAAGUGUGGGAAAAAAUGACAAGAAGAUAUUGGAACAUCAAUUUGGAAGAGAUGAUGGAAGCAGGAGUUCAUUUUGGUCAUGGUACUAAGAAAUGGAAUCCUAGAAUGGCCCCUUACAUCUCUGCAAAGCGUAAAGGUAUUCAUAUUACAAAUCUCGCUAGAACUGCUCGUUUUUUAUCAGAAGCCUGUGAUUUAGUUUUUGAUGCAUCAAGUAGGGGAAAAAGCUUCUUAAUCGUCGGUACCAAAAAUAAAGCAUCGGAUUCAGUAGCAUCAGCUGCAAUAAGGGCUCGGUCUCAUUUUAUUAAUCAAAAAUGGCUCGGUGGUACGUUAACGAAUUGGUCCACUACGGAAACGAGACUUUAUAAGUUCAGGGACUUAAGAGCAGAAGAAAAGAUGGGGAAACUCAACCGUCUCCCCAAAAGAGAUGCAGCAAUGUUGAAGAGAAAAUUAUCUACCUUGCAAACAUAUCUCGGUGGGAUCAAAUAUAUGACGGGAUUGCCUGAUAUUGUGAUCAUCGUUGAUCAGCAAGAAGAAUAUACGGCUCUUCGAGAAUGUGCCAUUUUGGGGAUUCCGACGAUUUGUUUAAUCGAUACAAAUUGUGACCCAGAUCUUGCAGAUAUUUCGAUUCCGGCCAACGAUGACGCUAUAGCUUCAAUUCGAUUGAUUCUUAACAAAUUAGUAUCCGCAAUUUGUGAGGGUCGUUCUAGCUAUAUAAGAAAUCGUUGAUUAUGAUUAAGAUUAAGAAUAAUAAGAUUAGUUAAUGUUAAUUAUUGGGCAACUCCAUAGAUUUAUUGGAUCGGUUACUUUUUUAUCUAUUUUGCAUUUAACAAAAUAGAUAAAAAAAAAAGAACUGGGGAUAUUGAUAUAUAUUAUGAUGUUAUGUGAUUUCUUGGUAUCCUAAAUAUAUGAUUAAUGAUUCAAGUUGGUGAGUUGAGAAAGAAAUGGUUGAAUCAAACUAAUUCCUUUUUUGAAGUUCAAUUUCUAUCAGAGGACAAUAUGAAUGUUAUACCAUGUUACAUUAAAACACUCAAGGGGUUAUAUGAUAUAUCGGGUGUAGAAGUAGGCCAACAUUUCUAUUGGCAAAUAGGAGGUUUACAAAUCCAUGCCCAAGUACUUAUCACUUCUUGGGUCGUAAUUGCUAUCUUGUUAGGUUCAGUCAUCAUAGCUGUUCGGAAUCCACAAACCAUUCCGACCGACGGUCAGAAUUUCUUUGAAUAUGUCCUUGAAUUUAUUCGAGACUUGAGCAAAACCCAGAUUGGAGAAGAAUAUGGACCUUGGGUUCCCUUUAUUGGAACUAUGUUCCUAUUUAUUUUUGUUUCUAAUUGGUCAGGUGCUCUUUUACCUUGGAAAAUCAUACAGUUACCUCAUGGGGAGUUAGCUGCGCCCACGAAUGAUAUAAAUACUACUGUUGCUUUAGCUUUACCCACGUCAGUGGCAUAUUUUUAUGCGGGUCUUACCAAAAAAGGAUUGGGUUAUUUCGAGAAAUACAUCAAACCAACUCCAAUACUUUUACCAAUUAACAUCCUAGAAGAUUUCACAAAACCUUUAUCUCUUAGCUUUCGACUAUUCGGGAAUAUAUUGGCUGAUGAAUUAGUAGUUGUUGUUCUUGUUUCUUUAGUCCCUUCAGUAGUUCCUAUACCUGUCAUGUUUCUUGGAUUAUUUACAAGUGGUAUUCAAGCUCUUAUUUUUGCAACGUUGGCCGCGGCUUAUAUAGGCGAAUCCAUGGAGGGUCAUCAUUGACUAGUUUUCGAAAUAGUCUUUUUUUUUAGCUUAUCCCAAUUCAUGCAUGGUUCAAGAUAAUCUGCUUGGUUGGAGAACAUAAUAGAUAUAAAUACGUAUGAAGAUAUGACCUAGAGUCGUAGGAGAGAAGAUGAACGAUAUUACGGAAUUGUAAAAAAAAAAAAUGGGUUGGGGAGGUCACACUAGAUGUAUGUAAUGUCUAUAAGUCCAGCCACUUUUUGUGUGGGUUUCAAGGAAUGAUUCUAUAAUCCGAUUCAAUAUAAAAUGCGGCCAGUUUACGUUAUGGAAGAAAGAAAUGUAUAUGUAAUAUGUAUAUGCAAUAUUAGAUAUUCACUAGUUAUAUAGUCCUAUCUAUAUAUAAAUAUAAGUCCUUAUACCCUACCUUAUACCCUACCUAUAUACUAACUAACUAUAUAUAUCUAACUAUAUGCUAUACAUAUAUAAUAUAUAUAUAUAGUUAGUUAUAGCAAAAUAAAAAAUAUAUAUAUAUGUAUUGAUAUACAUAUUGAUAUCGUUAUAUUGAUAUAUUGAUAUCGUUGAUAUCGAUCAUAUUGAUAUCCAUUGCAUAUAUUGAUGAUUGCAUAUAUUGAUUUGAUUGCAGUUUACUGCAUUUAGAUUAGAUGGAUUACAAGAUAAGUCAAGUCCUUUCUUCUGUUUCAUUUGUGAUUGUGGAUUGGAUGAAAAAACAGAUGAACUCAAGGAUAUAGAAGAGUAAAGAACGAAGGAUUGAAUGAAAGAAUGGUUGGAAAGAAAGAAAUGCAAUAACUAGAACCGUAUGUAUAUGGAUUUACAAAAACUUCAUCAUGGGUAGAAACUAAAAACGAGAUAUCGAAGUAGUUCUGACGAGUCAGUAAUAUUAUCAUUAGUUUUUAGUUACUUCGACCCAAUAGAUCUUAAUGAUCAAACUUAAUGAUAAAAUUAAGUAAUAAUUCAUUGGUCGAUUGUAUCAUUAACCAUUUCUUUUUCUUUUUUUUGGUGCGAGGAACUUACCAUGAAUCCACUGAUUUCUGCCGCUUCCGUUAUUGCUGCUGGAUUGGCUGUAGGACUUGCUUCUAUUGGACCUGGAGUUGGUCAAGGUACUGCUGCAGGCCAAGCUGUAGAGGGUAUUGCGAGACAACCAGAAGCAGAGGGUAAAAUACGAGGUACUUUAUUGCUUAGUCUAGCUUUUAUGGAAGCUUUAACAAUUUACGGACUGGUUGUGGCAUUAGCGCUUUUAUUUGCGAAUCCUUUUGUUUAAUCCUAGAAAUGUAAAAAAGUACCUUAGAUUACAUACUCUUUUUACUUUUUUUCUUAUUUUAUUAACUUGAAAUUAAAUUGCCGUUUCCUUCUUCGAAUUAUAUCAACACUUUACUCCUAUAAUUACUUAUUUGUUGAGACUCCAGGAAGGACUGCUUUGAGGAUGAGGAAUUACCAGAUCACUCGCUUUCUUCCUUCCCGUCCUUAGCUUAGUACAAUGGAAACUUUUUUCCUUUUAGGAAACGUUUCCACAAACGAUAUAUUUCGCAAUUGAAAUGAGACCUAAGACCUAACCUAAAUGAAAUUACUAGAUUUAAUCUAUUCCCAUUAAAAAGGGGGAAAUUCAAUUAAAAAUAAAUAAAUUGAUCAAAAAAGAAAGGGGCGAGCGAAGUGAUAGAAAAAGAACUUUGUUCUUUGUCAGUCCUAUCUAUAAGAGGAGAGCAUAUGAAAAAUGUAACCGAUUCUUUCGUUUUCUCACGCCACUGGCCAUCCGCCGGGAGUUUCGGGUUUAAUACCGAUAUUUUAGCAACAAAUCCAAUAAAUCUAAGUGUAGUGAUUGGUGUAUUGAUUUUUUUUGGAAAGGGAGUGUGUGCGGGUUGUGUAUUUCAAGAAUAGGUUGGAUCCAUCCGGCUGCACUUUACUUUAUUUAUAGUUAUUUAUAGUUAUAGUAUAUUUAGGAUAAAUAGGAAAAAAGGUGCACGAUCUCGACGAAUUACUUCUGAAUAAAUUCAAAAAUCAUAUGUAAGAACCAUAGCAUUUCGUGACUUAUUGGUAAAUCAACUUUGAUUCUCUAUCAACCAAUAAUGUGAGACCAUUAACAUGGUUAAAGCUAAACUGUUUGAAGUCCAGGCAAAACAUGGUACUCUUUCUACGACUACAUUAGUACUGAAAUGUUUUCCAAAUGAAUAGUUGGUAAUUUAUCUGAUAUAGAACACUCAUAUCGAUAAAAGGAUUUGAACCAUUUACUAGAAAGAAAAGGGCACUCUGCCUUUUUUAUCCAAUGCCGAAUCGACGACCUAUGUAUAAAAAAAGAGGAAUUUUUGGAUUUGAAGAAAAAAAGAAAAAAUCUAAUUCCAAAUUAGAAAUUUUUUAAAUUUAUUUAAUUAAAUAAAAAGAAAAUUUAAUUAAAUUAAGAACAAAUACAAAUAAAGAAACAACUUUGCUGACAAUUANAAUUAUAUUCAUGAUAUUUUUUAUUGUUGAUUUUGCAUUGUCGGUUUAUGUAUUGAUGCGUAAAGGUGGUAUAAUGAUGCAGCAAGUAAACCUCAUUUUAUUUUCAAAUAUAAUUUUCUUUUAUUUUGCAGGUUCGUGUUUGAUUCGGACUUAACUUAUUUUGUUUUAGUUGAUUUAGCUAAUCCAAAUCCUUUUCUCCAAUAAACAAAGAAACUAUCCCAAAAAAGACCUUUGGAAUUUCCAAAAUUGCUUCGUCUUCUAUGCACCUUGGGUGAUCAUAUUGUAUUGAAAAUGAGAGGACAUUAAUUUAUUAUAGGAGGGCUCUCAACACUAUAAUUACUUGGUUCUUGAAGCCCUAAGGGAUAUUAUUUUUGAUGAAUAGAAAAUUAUACUCUUACUCUUUAUCCUUGGUAUUCUACUUCCUGAUGAGAUCAUCAACGCUUCUUCCUCACGUUGAGAUCGUCUUCUUCCUCAGCUUGAUCGUUGUUGCUUUUUCCUCGUGACAAGAUCGGCUUCUACUUCUACCCCUCCUCUUCUUCCGAGUCACUAGCUCACCUUCUUGUUCCCCGUUGCCGAAGUUCUACCCAUGGUGUACCGCCUUCCUUGUCGAUCGUGGAUCCCCUGCAAUCGUGUGAACGACGCACUUUUUGUAUCUCUCAUCUCUUGAUAUCCUAUUAUCCCCUUUCAAUCUAGCCUUCCACCAUUAAUAACCAUAUUUGCCAAAUAACCAAAUCUAAAAGCUUUAAGUUACGAUAAAACCGAAUUUACCUUUUGGAACUAUUAUAUGUAUUUUUAGUUGGUUGUUAUUAUCUCAUAUAUUGAUGGUUUAUCAUCAUCUUAGUAUUGCUUCAAUUUGAUUUUAAUUUUUGUCUUGCUAAAAUUUUUGCUUCCUUGCUUUAAUUAUAGUAAAUUUCAUCGGAAUCGAUAAAUUGAACCUAGUUUAUUUCAAGAAAUACCUUUAAACAAAAAGCAAACUUGAAAAUUCAAUUUUGGCAACCUCUCGGUCCGCAUCAUAUAACCUGUGUAUUAUGGAGGAUUUUUUUUUCCUAUCAGGGAAAGUUUGAGAGACUGUUAGGUCUAUGUUUUGAAAAUUUAGUUGCUUUGGGAAAUCAAUAGUUGUAUAUAAUCUUCUCAAAUUCUUCAUUUGCUAAGCAUUAUAACCAUUGGUGUCUGUCAUGAGCAUAAUGUAAGUAGUAUGUUCAGCAAUGUUUUAAGCUGCCGCUACGCCUGCCAUAGUGGCUGCUAUAGCAUAAUUACUACGCUACCACUACGCCACGAUAUUAAAAGUGGGAUUUAGUGGAGUUGGUUCGUAGUGGCCACUUUAGCGGCAUUAGGCUUGCUAAAGUGGGUGCUAUAAAGUGGGGUUGAAGCGACUGUUAUGUGCUCAAAAUCUGGAAAAUUGCAAACGGGUCAAAUUACCUUACUGGUCGGAUUUCUAAGUUAAUUAAAAUGACUAAAAACCUAUAAAUGGAUUAUAGAUUUUCUAGUUUAUUGUCUUUUUGGCUUGUUAAAUCACAAUAUUUUGAAGGUAGUUGUACAUAUAGUGAUAGUAAAUAUAUAUAGGCUUGCAAUACUAGAAAAAGGUAAUGGUUAGUUGU